AUUGAACGCUGGCGGCAGGCCUAACACAUGCAAGUCGAGCGGAUGAAGGGAGCUUGCUCCUGGAUUCAGCGGCGGACGGGCGAGUAAUGCCUAGGAAUCUGCCUGGUAGUGGGGGAUAACGUCCGGACACGGGCGCUAAUACUGCAUACGUCCUGAGGGAGAAAGAGGGGGAUCUUCGGGCCUCUCGCUAUCAGAUGAGCCUAGGUCGGAUUAGCUAGUUGGUGGGGUAAAGGCUAGCCAAGGCGACGAUCCGUAACUGGCCGGAGAGGAUGGUUAGACACACUGGAAGUGAGACCCGGACCAGACUCCUACGGGAGGGAGCAGUGGCGAAUAUUCGCCAAUGGGCGAAAGUCUGAUCCAGCCAAGCCGCGUGUGUGAAGAAGGCCUUCGGAUUGUAAAGAACUUCAAGUAGGGAGGAAGCGCAGUAAGUUAAUACCUUGCUGUUUUGACGUUACCAACAGAAGAAGCACCGGCUAACUUCGUG
Molecule: ribosomal RNA, 484 nt
Filed under: uncultured bacterium
Lineage: Bacteria
Description: partial 16S ribosomal RNA
Rfam family: Bacterial small subunit ribosomal RNA
Source: RNAcentral